GUGGCUUCCGGAGCUAACGCGUUAAAUCGACGCUGGGGAGUACGGCCGCAAGGUUAAAACUCAAAUGAAUUGACGGGGGCCCGCACAAGCGGUGGAGCAUGUGGUUUAAUUCGAUGCAACGCGAAGAACCUUACCUACUCUUGACAUCCAGAGAAUUUAGCAGAGAUGCUUUAGUGCUUUCGGGAACUCUGAGACAGGUGCUGCAUGGCUGUCGUCAGCUCGUGUUGUGAAAUGUUGGGUUAAGUCCCGCAACGAGCGCAACCCUUAUCCUUUGUUGCCAGCACAUUAUGGUGGGAACUCAAAGGAGACUGCCGGUGAUAAACCGGAGGAAGGUGGGGAUGACGUCAAGUCAUCAUGGCCCUUACGAGUAGGGCUACACACGUGCUACAAUGGCGUAUACAAAGAGAAGCGACCUCGCGAGAGCAAGCGGAACUCAUAAAGUACGUCGUAGUCCGGAUUGGAGUCUGCAACUCGACUCCAUGAAGUCGGAAUCGCUAGUAAUCGUAGAUCAGAAUGCUACGGUGAAUACGUUCCCGGGCCUUGUACACACCGCCCGUCACACCAUGGGAGUGGGUUGCAAAAGAAGUAGGUAGCUUAACCUUCGGGAGGGCGCUUACCACUUUGUGAUUCAUGACUGGGGCGAAGUCGUAACAAGGUAACCA
RNAcentral lists this ribosomal RNA (662 nucleotides) under uncultured Providencia sp. Its description in RNAcentral is "bacterial SSU rRNA". It matches the Rfam family "Bacterial small subunit ribosomal RNA", at positions 839 to 1502 of the family's 1533-position model. Lineage: Bacteria; Pseudomonadati; Pseudomonadota; Gammaproteobacteria; Enterobacterales; Morganellaceae. The record is from RNAcentral.